UCAGGUAUUAAUAUGAGACAGGAAAUAACAGCGGUCAGUGUACGCGAGAAACUGCUUUUCAAAAAAUCCAGCUAUAAUUGAUUUGACAUUUCACUUUUUUUAGUAAGUGUCAUCGCUUCUCUCACAUUUUCUCAGUCACCAUGCUGCGCUUUUGUAUCACGGUCAUGUUGUGUUUGAAAGUUUAUCUAGGAGAAGGCGCGUUGCACCAGACACCGGCUCACCAGUUUGCUGCGGUUGGUGACACCGUGGAGACUUUCUGUUCCUCCAGAGAGUGCUCUGUAGACGUGGAUAUGCUGCGCUGGUUCCUGAAGAAGGACAGCGAGGUGAUCGCUCUGAACACGAGCUGCAAGGCAGGUCCUGGGUGCAGGGUCACUACGGGACGAGCGAGCAAUGGGGACUGCGGGCUGACUAUCCGGGACGUGCAGCCCGUCGACUCCGGGGUGUAUUACUGUGCUGAAUACAGUUCUUACACCAUGGCGAUGUCCCAUGGGUCCUUACUGAUCAUCACAGACAAUUCUGCGCAAAAUACUACAGUAACUAUCCUGGCCCCCGCUGUGUCCGCCAGCGCGCUCGAUUCCAAGGGGACGCUGACAUUAGUGUGUCUGGUCCGGGGCCUCUCCUCGCCCGCACUCCUGGUUCAGUGGUUCAUCUCUGGUAACCUCACAGAGACAGCCGCUCCAAGCUCCUGGAAGGAAGGGAAGAAGGCUGGAAACGGAGAGAGCUACAGCGCCACGAGCAGGCUGACAAUCCCGGCGGAGACGUGGCGGAGCGGGGCGGUGUGCGCCUGUGGAGCGCAACUGAACUCGAGCACCGUCAUCCUCAGCAGGAAUAUCUCAUACAGAGGUGCACUGGAACCGGAAUAUGAGCGAUGCCUGGUUCACUACAGUGUCCUGGGGGGCUGUGGUAUUGUGCUGGUCUGUGUCCUCAUUGGCAGUCUUGCCUGGGCUCGUUCCUGGAGCAAGGAAGCCCGGCCACAGAGCACUCAGACCAGCAGACCCGAGGACUGUGAGGAGAGACCCGAGCUCACCUACGCGCGUUUGGAAUUCACACCCCUGAAGAAAGCGCGAAGAAAGAGGCAAGCAUAACCAGCGAUACCAAAGAUCGUCAGCGGGCUGAAGUGAGAGCCAAGCUCCUUGUUCGUUUUUUUUUUAAUAACAAAAAGCAAACCGAUACUUUUUUGUGUUUUUAACUUUUGAAUAAUGGUAGGCGCUAAACAGAAUGGGUCCUUUUCACCUUUUCCGUUUUUAACUCUCGACUGAUAGAAAACAAACUGGUUACACAUUGAAUGACAAAUGGCACUGGGACGUGAAAGGCAUUUAAAAACGUGCGCCACUUGUGACUGACAGACCGGGAGAGAGACUGAGACAGAGUCAGGUGGGAGCCGGAGCAGCAGCGGCUGUUCAGCUGGGAGCGAGCGAGGAAGCAAGCGGAGCAGCAACGCCGCGCCAGCGGGCUGCGAGAGGCGAGAGACCGGGGGUGAGCUGUCUGCAGACCCGAAGGCGGCGCUCUGCGUCAUCUAUUUAGCUGCGUGUUGAGUACAAGUGUUUUUGUAGUAUUUUAAUAUUAACAAUAAAGACUGAAUAAUUGGA
Acipenser ruthenus (sterlet) is the source of this 1589-nucleotide non-coding RNA. NCBI's taxonomy places the organism in Eukaryota, Metazoa, Chordata, Actinopteri, Acipenseriformes, Acipenseridae. The record is from the annotation of a RefSeq genome assembly.